AAAUUGAAGAGUUUGAUCAUGGCUCAGAUUGAACGCUGGCGGCAGGCCUAACACAUGCAAGUCGAACGGUAACAGGAAGCAGCUUGCUGCUUCGCUGACGAGUGGCGGACGGGUGAGUAAUGUCUGGGAAACUGCCUGAUGGAGGGGGAUAACUACUGGAAACGGUGGCUAAUACCGCAUAACGUCGCAAGACCAAAGAGGGGGACCUUCGGGCCUCUUGCCAUCAGAUGUGCCCAGAUGGGAUUAGCUUGUUGGUGAGGUAACGGCUCACCAAGGCGACGAUCCCUAGCUGGUCUGAGAGGAUGACCAGCCACACUGGAACUGAGACACGGUCCAGACUCCUACGGGAGGCAGCAGUGGGGAAUAUUGCACAAUGGGCGCAAGCCUGAUGCAGCCAUGCCGCGUGUAUGAAGAAGGCCUUCGGGUUGUAAAGUACUUUCAGCGGGGAGGAAGGUGUUGUGGUUAAUAACCGCAGCAAUUGACGUUACCCGCAGAAGAAGCACCGGCUAACUCCGUGCCAGCAGCCGCGGUAAUACGGAGGGUGCAAGCGUUAAUCGGAAUUACUGGGCGUAAAGCGCACGCAGGCGGUCUGUCAAGUCGGAUGUGAAAAUCCCCGGGCUCAACCUGGGAACUGCAUUCGAAACUGGCAGGCUUGAGUCUUGUAGAGGGGGGUUAGAAUUCCAGGUGUAGCGGUGAAAUGCCGUAGAGAUCUGGGGAAUAACCGGUUGGCGAAGGCGGCCCCCUGGACAAAGACUGACGCUCAGGUGCGAAAGCGUGGGGAGCAAACAGGAUUAGAUACCCUGGUUAGUCCACGCCGUAAAACGAUGUCUACUUGGAGGUUGUGCCCUUGAGGCGUGGCUUCCGGAGCUAACGCGUUAAGUAGACCGCCUGGGGAGUACGGCCGCAAGGUUAAAACUCAAAUGAAUUGACGGGGGCCCGCACAAGCGGUGGAGCAUGUGGUUUAAUUCGAUGCAACGCGAAGAACCUUACCUGGUCUUGACAUCCACGGAAGUUUUCAGAGAUGAGAAUGUGCCUUCGGGAACCGUGAGACAGGUGCUGCAUGGCUGUCGUCAGCUCGUGUUGUGAAAUGUUGGGUUAAGUCCCGCAACGAGCGCAACCCUUAUCCUUUGUUGCCAGCGAUUAGGUCGGGAACUCAAAGGAGACUGCCAGUGAUAAACUGGAGGAAGGUGGGGAUGACGUCAAGUCAUCAUGGCCCUUACGACCAGGGCUACACACGUGCUACAAUGGCGCAUACAAAGAGAAGCGACCUCGCGAGAGCAAGCGGACCUCAUAAAGUGCGUCGUAGUCCGGAUUGGAGUCUGCAACUCGACUCCAUGAAGUCGGAAUCGCUAGUAAUCGUGGAUCAGAAUGCCACGGUGAAUACGUUCCCGGGCCUUGUACACACCGCCCGUCACACCAUGGGAGUGGGUUGCAAAAGAAGUAGGUAGCUUAACCUUCGGGAGGGCGCUUACCACUUUGUGAUUCAUGACUGGGGUGAAGUCGUAACAAGGUAACCGUAGGGGAACCUGCGGUUGGAUCACCUCCUUACCUUAAAGAA
This 1558-nucleotide ribosomal RNA is filed under the name Salmonella enterica subsp. enterica serovar California. RNAcentral describes it as "16S ribosomal RNA". It matches the Rfam family "Bacterial small subunit ribosomal RNA". The record is from RNAcentral. Lineage: Bacteria; Pseudomonadati; Pseudomonadota; Gammaproteobacteria; Enterobacterales; Enterobacteriaceae.